This 656-nucleotide long non-coding RNA is filed under the name Androctonus crassicauda. The record is from RNAcentral. Lineage: Eukaryota; Metazoa; Arthropoda; Arachnida; Scorpiones; Buthidae.
UAUAGUUAUUUAUGUUUAAAUAAAAUAUAUUUACAAUUCUGAUAGAUAUAUAAAGAAAAGAAACAAAAUAUUAAAAGAUUGCUAUAAGAAAUAAUUCAUACGUAUAACUAGCUAAAGUUACUAUAAACAUCAUAGUUAAUAACCUUUAUAUUAUGCCUCAAGUAGAAAUAAAUAAAUAUCUACUAAUGUUGAAUAUAUUAGUUUAGUAGAUUAAAAUAUUAAUGUAAGUACAGUAUAUGAAAAAAAAACUUUUUUAUUUCUCACCUGUCAUAAUCCAAACGGAAACAGCUUUAUCUGAAAUGUCGGCACUUCCCUAUCAACCUCAGGUAACUUCACUUCCAUCUCUGCUCUUGCAUCUCUACUGCGCCAAUAUACUACUCACGUGUGUUUGCCAUGCCUACUCUAGGGAAUCAACACCCAAAAUGAUAUUAAGUCAUAUCAGUUUAAACGUGUGUUUGUCAAAACGCUAUGCUAAUUGAAAUAAAAUUGGUAUAAUUUAACCAGAUCCUCUAGAUUAAGUGGAGUGGAUAAUAUCAUCAAAAUCGUUCGAUCGAAUCGAUUGUGAUCAUUUUUAGCAGCCACCAUCCUCUAGUGCAGUGGUCUCCAAACUUUUUUGACUGCGUACCCUUAUGAUAAAAAUAAUCAUAAAUUGUACC